AUCUAUUGAUUGUCUUUCAUUAAUCACUUCUCCCCUUUUACUCCCUUCCAGCAUUUCUAGAAGAGAAACUUAUGAUAUCUUCAUGGAAAGUUAUAUCAGACAGACAGAAGAGGAACUCUUAACGAAAGACCCGACAAUGGCAUUAAAGAGGAAAUGUGAGAGCUUAUUGAAGAAUAAAGACCUGCCGGAAUUUUUAAUAGUGAAAAGAGUGAGUAACCCAGCCUGCCCUAAACUAUUUGGCUACGCUAAGACUCAUAAGUAUCCCUUGAAGUUCCAUCCAAUUGUGAAGUGUCGGUUGCCCACGUACAACUUAGAGAAAGCUAUGGCCAAAUGGAUUAAUUUCCACUUAGCAGGCUACUAGUAUGUAGUAAACUCGACGACAGAAUUCA
RNAcentral lists this long non-coding RNA (389 nucleotides) under Androctonus crassicauda. The record is from RNAcentral. Lineage: Eukaryota; Metazoa; Arthropoda; Arachnida; Scorpiones; Buthidae.